This 642-nucleotide long non-coding RNA is filed under the name Brassica napus (rape). Its description in RNAcentral is "long non-coding RNA (BNAP_LNC006199)". The record is from RNAcentral. Lineage: Eukaryota; Viridiplantae; Streptophyta; Magnoliopsida; Brassicales; Brassicaceae.
GUUUGAUUGGCACAGUACCAUUGUGCCGGGUGAUUCAAUUCUCAAAUCUUUGAGAAGAGUUUUGAGCCAAAUAAACUCAUUAGUGAGCUUCUUCAUAUGAUUCAAUCGAUUCGAUUUUUUUAAAAAAAUAUUAUGAUAAUUUCUUUUGUGUUUGAGAAAAAAAUCUUGGGCGACAAUGUUAAUCAUUUGAAUAUGUUGUAUAACUAUAACCUCAUUGGCUACGCAUGACAUAUAGCAUUUUUCGUUAUUGCUGGAAUUAUUUAAAAUAACAUAAAGAUAUAUUUGAAAACAUCUAUACUAAAAGUGAAUGAGUUAGCAGCAGCUUGUAUACAUAUAUUUUCGAUAACAAUAACAAAUGUGAAAUUUUAACAUACUACUAGAUGUUCUAGGGUUAACAAAUGUCAAACAUCUAUACAUAAAGAUAUAUUUGAAAACAUUUAUACUAAAAGUGAAUGAGCUAGGGUUAACUAAUCUAGAAUUAAAAUUUAAAUUUGAGAGGUGGGUAGGGUUUUUAGAAUGUGAAAUAUAGGAUUUUAUUAAAUAUAUAAAUAAAUAUUUAAUUUUUUUUUUAAAUAGUUUCAAAAAUAAUUUUUGAUUUUCAAAAAAUAAUUUUGAAAAUAAAAACAAAUUUCAAAAAACAAA